GAACGCUGGCGGCAUGCCUAAGACAUGCAAGUCGAACGAAGUGGCCCAAUGAAGCGGAGUGCUUGCACAAAGUUGAUUUGGAUUUCCACUUAGUGGCGCAAGGGUGAGUAACACGUGGGUUAUCUACCUCAGAGACUGGAAUAACAAUUGGAAACGAUUGCUAAUGCCGGAUGAUAUAUAAAACGAUACGUUGUUUUAUAUUAAAAGGAGCCUUUAAAGCUCUGGCGGUACAGGAUGGACCCGCGUCUGAUUAGCUAGUUGGUAAGGUAACGGCUUACCAAGGCGACGAUCAGUAGCCGACCUGAGAGGGUGAUCGGCCACAUUGGAACUGAGACACGGUCCAAACUCCUACGGGAGGCAGCAGUGGGGAAUAUUGGACAAUGGGCGCAAGCCUGAUCCAGCGACGCCGCGUGAAGGAAGAAGGCCUUCGGGUUGUAAACUUCUUUUACCAGGGACGAAGAACGUGACGGUACCUGGAGAAAAAGCAACGGCUAACUACGUG
RNAcentral lists this ribosomal RNA (502 nucleotides) under uncultured bacterium. Its description in RNAcentral is "bacterial SSU rRNA". It matches the Rfam family "Bacterial small subunit ribosomal RNA", at positions 31 to 507 of the family's 1533-position model. The record is from RNAcentral.